UCUACGGGAGGCAGCAGUGGGGAAUAUUGCACAAUGGGGGAAACCCUGAUGCAGCAACGCCGCGUGAGUGAUGACGGCCUUCGGGUUGUAAAGCUCUGUCUUCUGGGACGAUAAUGACGGUACCAGAGGAGGAAGCCACGGCUAACUACGUGCCAGCAGCCGCGGUAAUA
This 170-nucleotide ribosomal RNA is filed under the name uncultured bacterium. RNAcentral's name for it is "partial 16S ribosomal RNA". It matches the Rfam family "Bacterial small subunit ribosomal RNA", at positions 338 to 525 of the family's 1533-position model. The record is from RNAcentral.